RNAcentral lists this ribosomal RNA (274 nucleotides) under uncultured bacterium. RNAcentral's name for it is "partial 16S ribosomal RNA". It matches the Rfam family "Bacterial small subunit ribosomal RNA", at positions 523 to 796 of the family's 1533-position model. The record is from RNAcentral.
CUACGGAGGGUGCAAGCGUUAUCCGGAAUCAUUGGGUUUAAAGGGUCCGCAGGCGGAUUAAUAAGUCAGUGGUGAAAUCCUCUCGCUCAACGAGAGAACUGCCAUUGAAACUGUUAGUCUUGAAUUCGGUCGAAGUAGGCGGAAUGUGUCAUGUAGCGGUGAAAUGCAUAGAUAUGACACAGAACACCGAUAGCGAAGGCAGCUUACUAGACCUGGAUUGACGCUCAUGGACGAAAGCGUGGGGAGCGAACAGGAUUAGAUACCCCGGUAGUCC